This 1443-nucleotide ribosomal RNA is filed under the name uncultured bacterium. Its description in RNAcentral is "bacterial SSU rRNA". It matches the Rfam family "Bacterial small subunit ribosomal RNA". The record is from RNAcentral.
AGAGUUUGAUCCUGGCUCAGAGCGAACGCUGGCGGCAGGCUUAACACAUGCAAGUCGAACGGGCGUAGCAAUACGUCAGUGGCAGACGGGUGAGUAACACGUGGGAACGUACCUUUUGGUUCGGAACAACUGAGGGAAACUUCAGCUAAUACCGGAUAAGCCCUUACGGGGAAAGAUUUAUCGCCGAAAGAUCGGCCCGCGUCUGAUUAGCUUGUUGGUGAGGUAACGGCUCACCAAGGCGACGAUCAGUAGCUGGUCUGAGAGGAUGAUCAGCCACAUUGGGACUGAGACACGGCCCAAACUCCUACGGGAGGCAGCAGUGGGGAAUAUUGGACAAUGGGCGAAAGCCUGAUCCAGCCAUGCCGCGUGAGUGAUGAAGGCCCUAGGGUUGUAAAGCUCUUUUGUGCGGGAAGAUAAUGACGGUACCGCAAGAAUAAGCCCCGGCUAACUUCGUGCCAGCAGCCGCGGUAAUACGUAGGGGGCGAGCGUUGUCCGGAAUUACUGGGCGUAAAGCGCGCGCAGGCGGCUUGUUAAGUCAGGUGUCAAAAUGCGGGGCUCAACCCCGUAUCGCACUUGAAACUGGCAGGCUUGAGUGCAGGAGAGGGAAGUGGAAUUCCUAGUGUAGCGGUGAAAUGCGUAGAUAUUAGGAGGAACACCAGUGGCGAAGGCGACUUCCUGGACUGUAACUGACGCUCAGGCGCGAAAGCUAGGGGAGCAAACAGGAUUAGAUACCCUGGUAGUCCUAGCCGUAAACGAUGGGUACUAGGUGUUGGGGGUGACAAUCCCCCAGUGCCGCAGUUAACGCAUUAAAUACUCCGCCUGGGGAGUACGCACGCAAGUGUGAAACUCAAAGGAAUUGACGGGGACCCGCACAAGUAGCGGAGCAUGUGGUUUAAUUCGAAGCAACGCGAAGAACCUUACCUAAGCUUGACAUCUCUCAGAUCGGUAGUUAAUCCUACCUUCCCUUCGGGGCUGAGAUGACAGGUGGUGCAUGGUUGUCGUCAGCUCGUGUCGUGAGAUGUUGGGUUAAGUCCCGCAACGAGCGCAACCCUUGUCUUUAGUUGCCAGCAUUAAGUUGGGCACUCUAGAGAGACUGCCAGGGAUAACCUGGAGGAAGGUGGGGAUGACGUCAAAUCAUCAUGCCCCUUAUGCUUAGGGCUACACACGUGCUACAAUGGGUGGUACAGAGGGUUGCCAAGCCGCAAGGUGGAGCUAAUCCCUUGAAGCCAUUCUCAGUUCGGAUUGUAGGCUGAAACUCGCCUACAUGAAGCUGGAGUUACUAGUAAUCGCAGAUCAGAAUGCUGCGGUGAAUGCGUUCCCGGGUCUUGUACACACCGCCCGUCACACCAUGGAAGUUGGAAACACCCGAAGCCGAUUAUCUAACCGCAAGGAAGAAGUCGUCGAAGGUGGAAUCAAUAACUAGGGUGAAGUCGUAACAAGGUA